AGGAGGUACAACCCCAGUGGCAGUGGCCAGCCCUGGAGCCCUGGAUUCAGCUACCACAGUAGCUAUGGAGCUCUCUGUCUGCAGGGCCUGGAGGCUCCGGGGCGGG
Non-coding RNA from Canis lupus familiaris (dog), 106 nucleotides. NCBI's taxonomy places the organism in Eukaryota, Metazoa, Chordata, Mammalia, Carnivora, Canidae. The record is from Rfam.